AUUGAACGCUGGCGGCAUGCUUUACACAUGCAAGUCGAACGGUAACAGGCCUUCGGGUGCUGACGAGUGGCGAACGGGUGAGUAAUGCAUCGGAACGUACCCAGAGGUGGGGGAUAACGCAGCGAAAGCUGUGCUAAUACCGCAUGUGAUCUGAGGAUGAAAGCGGGGGACCGAGCAGCAAUGUUUGGCCUCGCGCCUUUGGAGCGGCCGAUGUCGGAUUAGCUAGUUGGUGGGGUAAAGGCCUACCAAGGCGACGAUCCGUAGCUGGUCUGAGAGGACGACCAGCCACACUGGGACUGAGACACGGCCCAGACUCCUACGGGAGGCAGCAGUGGGGAACUUUGGACAAUGGGCGCAAGCCUGAUCCAGCAAUGCCGCGUGUGGGAAGAAGGCCUUCGGGUUGUAAACCGCUUUUGGCAGGAACGAAACGGUGUCCGCUAAUACCGGGCGCUAAUGACGGUACCUGCAGAAUAAGCACCGGCUAACUACGUG
This 492-nucleotide ribosomal RNA is filed under the name uncultured bacterium. RNAcentral describes it as "partial 16S ribosomal RNA". It matches the Rfam family "Bacterial small subunit ribosomal RNA", at positions 29 to 507 of the family's 1533-position model. The record is from RNAcentral.